This 492-nucleotide ribosomal RNA is filed under the name uncultured bacterium. Its description in RNAcentral is "partial 16S ribosomal RNA". It matches the Rfam family "Bacterial small subunit ribosomal RNA", at positions 29 to 507 of the family's 1533-position model. The record is from RNAcentral.
AGUGAACGCUGGCGGUAGGCCUAACACAUGCAAGUCGAACGGCAGCACAGUAAGAGCUUGCUCUUACGGGUGGCGAGUGGCGGACGGGUGAGGAAUACAUCGGAAUCUACUUUUUCGUGGGGGAUAACGUAGGGAAACUUACGCUAAUACCGCAUACGACCUACGGGUGAAAGCAGGGGAUCUUCGGACCUUGCGCGAUUGAAUGAGCCGAUGUCGGAUUAGCUAGUUGGCGGGGUAAAGGCCCACCAAGGCGACGAUCCGUAGCUGGUCUGAGAGGAUGAUCAGCCACACUGGAACUGAGACACGGUCCAGACUCCUACGGGAGGCAGCAGUGGGGAAUAUUGGAGAAUGGGCGCAAGCCUGAUCCAGCCAUCCCGCGUGGGUGAAGAAGGCCUUCGGGUUGUAAAGCCCUUUUGUUGGGAAAGAAAAGCAGCAGGUUAAUACCCCGCUGUUCUGACGGUACCCAAAGAAUAAGCACCGGCUAACUUCGUG